UGCCAGACUCCUACGGGAGGCAGCAGUGGGGAAUAUUGGGCAAUGGGCGCAAGCCUGACCCAGCAACGCCGCGUGAAGGAAGAAGGCUUUCGGGUUGUAAACUUCUUUUAAGAGGGAAGAGCAGAAGACGGUACCUCUUGAAUAAGCCACAGCUAACUACGUGCCAGCAGCCGCGGUAAUACGUAGGUGGCAAGCGUUAUCCGGAUUUACUGGGUGUAAAGGGCGUGUAGGCGGGAAAGCAAGUCAGAUGUGAAAACCACGGGCUCAACCUGUGGCCUGCAUUUGAAACUGUUUUUCUUGAGUACUGGAGAGGCAGACGGAAUUCCUAGUGUAGCGGUGAAAUGCGUAGAUAUCGGGAGGAACACCAGUGGCGAAGGCGGUUUACUGGACCACAACUGACGCUGAGACACGAAAGCGUGGGGAGCAAACAGGAUUAGAUACCCCUGUA
RNAcentral lists this ribosomal RNA (448 nucleotides) under uncultured bacterium. Its description in RNAcentral is "partial 16S ribosomal RNA". It matches the Rfam family "Bacterial small subunit ribosomal RNA", at positions 329 to 792 of the family's 1533-position model. The record is from RNAcentral.